This 168-nucleotide small RNA is filed under the name Paenibacillus sp. Its description in RNAcentral is "c-di-AMP sequence". It matches the Rfam family "c-di-AMP riboswitch aptamer (ydaO/yuaA leader)". Rfam says of the family: This family represents a conserved RNA structure found upstream of the ydaO and yuaA genes in Bacillus subtilis and related genes in other bacteria. The ydaO/yuaA element is thought to act as a genetic "off" switch for the ydaO and yuaA genes in its native state. The record is from RNAcentral. Lineage: Bacteria; Bacillati; Bacillota; Bacilli; Caryophanales; Paenibacillaceae.
UAUUUACUUUCGCUGAGUCCUUGAAUGGAAAAGGAACGGGGGAACCAAACGGGAGCUGUUAAGCUCUCCGGGGUGAAUCCCGAAGACGGUGGCAGCCGUUAUUCGGGUAGGGCGACUCUCACGCCCGAAUCCGUCAGCUAACCUCGUAAGCGUAUCGGGAGAGGCAAC